GAUGAACGCUGGCGGUGUGCUUUAGGUAUGCAAGUCGAACGGCUGAGUAGCAAUACAAGGCAGUGGCAGACGGGUGAGUAACACGUAUGAAUCUACCUUUUAGUGGAGAAUAACUUGUCGAAAGACGGGCUAAUACUGCAUAAUAUCGCAAGAUUAAAGGACUUAACUGUCCGCUAAGAGAGGAGCAUGCGUCCUAUCAGCUAGUUGGUGAGGUAAAGGCUUACCAAGGCUACGACGGGUAUCUGGACUGAGAGGUUGACCAGACACAGGGGCACUGAGACACGGGCUCCACACCUACGGGUGGCAGCAACCAGGAAUAUUGCGCAAUGGACGAAAGUCUGACGCAGCGACACCGCGUGGAGGAUGACAGCUCUAGGGUUGUAAACUCCUUUUGAUAAUCCCUUCACAGAUUAUAGAAUAAGGCCUUACUAAUUACGUGCCAGAAGUCUCGGUAAUACGUAAGGGCCAAGCGUUAUCCGGAUUUACUGGGGCGUAAAGAGUGUGUAGGCGUCCUUCCAAGUUCUCAUUUAAAUCUCAGGCUUAACCUUGAAUCUGGUGAGAAUACUGUUAGGAUUGAGGAUUGUUCGGGAUACUAGAACGGUUGGUGUAGCGGUGAAAUGCGUUGAUAAUCAACUGGAAUACCAAAGGCGAAGGCAGGUAUCUGGAAUUUUCCUGACGCUGAGACACGAAAGCUAGGGUAGCGAAACAGAUUAGAGACCCUGUGUAGUCCUAGCCCUAAAACUAUGGAUGCUAGAUUCCCCGGAAUCGAACUUGUAAUAAUUUGCAGGUUGGGAUUUGGGGAGUCGCAAGCUAACGCGUUAAGCAUCCCGCCUGGGGAGUACGGCCGCAAGGCUAAAACUCAAAGGAAUUGACGGGGGACCCGCACAACCAGUGGAGCGUGUGGUUCAAUUUGAGACGAAGCAAAAAACCUCACCAGGAUUUGACAUGUAACCGUACAUUUCUCCAGAAAUGGAGAGAAAUCCGCAAGGAUGGUUACACAGGUGCUGCAUGGCUGUCGUCAGCUCGUGCCGUGAGGUGUUCCAUUAAGUUGGGAAACGAGUGCAACCCCUAUCUUGUGUUAAAUAUUCACAAGAGACUGCCUCGCCAUUAGGCGCGGAGGAAGGAGGGGCGGACGUCAAGUCCGCAUGGUCCUUAUAUCCUGGGCUACACACACCCUACAAUGGCGAAAAACAACGUGUUGCAAGUCGGUAACGGCAAGCUAAUCACUUAAAUUUCGCCUCAGUUCAGAUUGGGGUCUGAAAUUCGACCCCAUGAAGUCGGAAUUGGUAGUAAUCGCGAAUCAGCAGGUCGCGGUGAAUACGUUCUCGGGUCUUGUACACACCGCCCGUCAAGGCAGCAAAGUCGGAAACUAUCGAACCUCGUGUAUGCGGGGGAGAUAGAGUUCGAUGAUGAGGCUU
RNAcentral lists this ribosomal RNA (1418 nucleotides) under uncultured bacterium. RNAcentral describes it as "bacterial SSU rRNA". It matches the Rfam family "Bacterial small subunit ribosomal RNA". The record is from RNAcentral.